GACCGAGUGGUGCAGUGGCAACAUACUUGUAUCCAAUUAUGUAUCUAUUGGUGGUCUGUGAGAUAUCCCUGUUCAACUCAGGGCUGGGUCA
Non-coding RNA from Mycena rebaudengoi, 91 nucleotides. Lineage: Eukaryota; Fungi; Basidiomycota; Agaricomycetes; Agaricales; Mycenaceae. The record is from the annotation of a GenBank genome assembly.